Molecule: long non-coding RNA, 620 nt
Organism: Eriocheir sinensis (Chinese mitten crab)
Lineage: Eukaryota; Metazoa; Arthropoda; Malacostraca; Decapoda; Varunidae
Exons: 3
Source: RefSeq, a predicted model, not a curated record
CAGUGGUGAGGUGAACACGUAGGGGACAUGAUCGUGUGUUCCUGUACAAGCCAUGGCCUGCCAAGACCCGUAACACGUAAGGACCUGCUUCAGGGUGCCGGUGUGAAGCCGCAGGGAAAGGUGGAGCGAGGAAACUCAACACUUCUGGCCCUCCCUGGUGGCGGUGGCGGCGGGCAAGACCAAGCCCAAGAGUUCCCUUCACAAGCCUGGCCUUAGGAACAUUGCCAUGGUGUGUGGGGUGACCUACCUCAUGUCCCGGGAUGACCUGACACAGCAGACACUUUAGUGUGUGUUUAUGCUGGGACCAAGAAGAAGAAGAAGAAGAGGAGGAGGAGGAGAAGGAAGAUGAUGAUAGAGGCAACAUGAAGAAAAGAAGAGGAGGAGGAGGAGGAGGAGAAAGAAUGGAAGAACUUCAGCAAGGAGGAGGAAGAAGAACACACACACAGGUACGUAAGACAAACAUCUAUUUUUUUUAUAUUAUGCAUUUUUAUUAGUCCAUAUAACAUUCAUUAUAUAUACAAUACAUACAAUCCUAUUAUACAACAUAUGCAUAAUUCUAUAUAUUAGAUCAUAGAGUGAGAGACUAGACUUGACAGGUGAGAAAUAGAGGUCCCCCCUCC